RNAcentral lists this unclassified non-coding RNA (256 nucleotides) under Hevea brasiliensis (rubber tree). The record is from RNAcentral. Lineage: Eukaryota; Viridiplantae; Streptophyta; Magnoliopsida; Malpighiales; Euphorbiaceae.
AACUGCACUAACAGAGGCAUGGCAUCCCUGAGUCACCACGCUCCCCAGCGGCCAUGUUUCAAUUACGUCUCGCCGCAACACCACGUACUGCACCACCACGUCCUCCGACUUUUCGCCUUUCAAAUCAGCGGCAUCAUUCUGAGAAUUGGCCGCCUCCUCCGCCGCAUCAGAUGUGAGAUGAUUCAUUGAGUUCGAGCAAAGUCGAGUCAGUGACCAAUUCGGGAAACGUUGGGAAAGAGAGGCAAGAUUGCCGCCA